AUUUGUUUUAUUUACCUUACUUUUCACAAAAAUAGUUUCAUCUAGAGGCGGAUCCAGGAUUCUGAGGUACCGGGUGCUAUGCCGUCUAAGUAGAAUUUGUGGAUCGAUUCUUUUAAUUUUGGGUUACAAUUUAGGUUAUUUAUCAUUUUUUUAUUUUAUAAGCAAAUCAAUCAAAUACGUCUAGUGAGUUAAUGUUCUUUUUUUAGAUAUUCUGAGAUAAAAAAACAUCUAAGUAGUUUAAUUUUUUUUUUUUUGAUAUAAGAGGUCUUAUUCUUCAAAACUUUGAGAGAGAAAAAGAUAUUUUUCAUGUUAAAAAUUUAAAUUUAUAUAAACCAUACGAUAGAGUUAUCUUAAUAUAUUCAUAUUCCAUUACCUUUAUAAGUUGAGAGUGUUGUUUCAGAUAUAUAAUUUGAAAGAAUUAAAAAUUAUAGCUUCAACUUAAUCAUCUUCACUUAGUUCAAACAAUCGAAAACUUUAAAUUUUAAUAUCUCUAACAUAAUAAUAUCCAAUUUUAUAGACUUGAACUUUUUUAAAAAAUUUAAUAUGUUCUUAAUAAUAUUUAUGUGACGUUUAAGAUUUAAUACUCACUAAUUCACACAAAUACACAUGAAACACUAGUAUCAAGAGAUUAAUCAAGAGAAAGUUUUAGAAAAGCAAGAAUUACUUAAAGAAAAACAACCCAUUUAAAUUAAUAAAAAAUAGCAAGUAAAUGAAAUUAAUGAAAAAACCUAAAAAGGGGAAUAAAAAGACAACUAAGCCCUUGACAUACAUCUAACGAAAGAUACAAAAAUGAAGUGGUGGUGGCUGAAGUGCUGAACAACUUCCCUUUGUGCAAGCAAGGGAAGGAGGUAAAAAGUACAAUGCUCAUAUUAAUAGGAAUUCGAUCCCUGGUCUACAGGGUAGUAUUCUCUGCCUAUUGCUAGUGACACUAACUGCCACUUUGUACAAGGGGUGGCAAGUAUAUUAUAUAUUCAAUUCUUCUGCGUUAUAUGCAUAUAUAUACAGUGUCUCAACUGAGAUCUGCGGGUGCCGUGCCACCCUCACAAGUACACAUUGAUUCGCCCCUGGUUUCGUCUGCUGAUUUUAUGCACUUGAGAACUAACUGACUUUCAUCACGCAGUGCUGCCCAAACGACUCGAGUAAAGUCAUAGUUACUUCUGCUGAUUCGAAAGUUAGAAUACUUUGUGGAUCCACCAUCAUCUGCAAAUUCAAAGGUAUCCAAAAUGAAGGAGAUGAAUAAAAAAGUGAUUAAGAAAUUGACCUUACUUGAAAGAGAUGAUUGUCCAAAAUGAAGGAGAUGAAGAAAGAAGUGUUGCUUUAAUUAAUAUUAAUCUUUUUGAUUUUGAGUUUUGUAAAACUUAUCACCACUUAAAUUUGAUACUAUGUGGGAAAACUAAUGAUCAUUUGACUUUAACAUUUUGCUUUUGGGUUUAGAUUACUAGUUUGUUAAUUUGAAUUAUAUUAAUGAAAGAUUUUGUUGUGAUGUUU
Molecule: long non-coding RNA, 1488 nt
Organism: Capsicum annuum
Lineage: Eukaryota; Viridiplantae; Streptophyta; Magnoliopsida; Solanales; Solanaceae
Exons: 2
Source: RefSeq, a predicted model, not a curated record